UAGGGAAUCUUCCACAAUGGGCGAAAGCCUGAUGGAGCAACGCCGCGUGUGUGAUGAAGGGUUUCGGCUCGUAAAACACUGUUGUAAGGGAAGAAUGACAUUGAGAGUAACUGUUCAAUGUGUGACGGUAUCUUACCAGAAAGGAACGGCUAAAUACGUGCCAA
This 164-nucleotide ribosomal RNA is filed under the name uncultured bacterium. Its description in RNAcentral is "partial 16S rRNA". It matches the Rfam family "Bacterial small subunit ribosomal RNA", at positions 355 to 511 of the family's 1533-position model. The record is from RNAcentral.